CCUACGGGAGGCAGCAGUGGGGAAUAUUGGACAAUGGGGGGAACCCUGAUCCAGCGACGCCGCGUGAGUGAAGAAGUAUUUCGGUAUGUAAAGCUCUAUCAGCAGGGAAGAAAAUGACGGUACCUGACCAAGAAGCCCCGGCUAACUACGUGCCAGCAGCCGCGGUAAUACGUAGGGGGCAAGCGUUAUCCGGAUUUACUGGGUGUAAAGGGAGCGUAGACGGUGCAGCAAGUCUGGUGUGAAAGCCCGGGGCCCAACCCCGGGACUGCAUUGGAAACUGUUGAACUGGAGUACAGGAGGGGUAAGCGGAAUUCCUAGUGUAGCGGUGAAAUGCGUAGAUAUUAGGAGGAACACCAGUGGCGAAGGCGGCUUACUGGACUGUAACUGACGUUGAGGCUCGAAAGCGUGGGGAGCAAACAGGAUUAGAUACCCGGGUAGUC
Molecule: ribosomal RNA, 440 nt
Filed under: uncultured bacterium
Lineage: Bacteria
Description: partial 16S ribosomal RNA
Rfam family: Bacterial small subunit ribosomal RNA
Source: RNAcentral